Molecule: transfer RNA, 72 nt
Organism: Ovis aries (sheep)
Lineage: Eukaryota; Metazoa; Chordata; Mammalia; Artiodactyla; Bovidae
Rfam family: tRNA
About the family: Transfer RNA (tRNA) molecules are approximately 80 nucleotides in length. Their secondary structure includes four short double-helical elements and three loops (D, anti-codon, and T loops).
Source: Rfam
UCCCUGGUGGCUCAGUCAGUAAAGCAUCUGCCUGCAAUGCAGGAGACCCAGGUUCAGUCCCUGGGUUGGAAA